Long non-coding RNA from Eriocheir sinensis (Chinese mitten crab), 5366 nucleotides. RefSeq lists it as uncharacterized. The record is from RefSeq and is a predicted model, not a curated record. The transcript has 2 exons. Lineage: Eukaryota; Metazoa; Arthropoda; Malacostraca; Decapoda; Varunidae.
CACACACACACACACACACUGAGUCGUUUGUUAAAAGGACGGCUGUUAUGUUCUCUUCUUUUUUUUUUUUUUCAAUCGAUAAAUCUUCAGCAUAGUCACGAAAACAAGCUGGGACGUAUACGUGUAUAUUAAUUGACAUUCUCAGAGCCAUAAUUACGCCAUGUAUGAAGAUAAAAGAAAUAAAAGUAUGGUUAAAGAAUCGAACUGAAAAAUCUAAGUGAAUCUAAAAAUGAACCUGAAUCACGAGACACGAGACCGAGGAGUCGAAUCCCUGCGAGCCUGUCUUGUCGACCAGUGCGACUCUGCGUCCAGCACCGCGGAGGCAGAGGCUAAGAAGAAAGGCUGAGGCUGUGGUGGCCAUGUUGACUCGUGCUUAAUGCUGUACUCCCACAACUGGUGUCUUUCGAGGCGAGACCACAGACGGGGACAUCGAUGUAGUGGUGCGUGGCAGGAAAGAUUGAAGUGCUAACGUAAUCUGACUUCCUCGAUUGGUGGCUUCCGUAACGAGACCACAGGCGGGGACAUCGAAGUAGUGUGCGCGGUAGGAAAGACUGAAGUGCUAACGUAAUAUGACUCGAUUGGUGGCUUCCGUGACUAGACCACAGGCGGGGACAUCGAAGUAGUGUGCGCGGUAAGAAAGACUAAGGUGCUGGCGUGAUAUAACAAACAGGAGAGCAUUUGUAAACGACUCCACAAAACAAAGGAUGCUACCCCCUAUAACGGCCAUACUUGCAAACAUUUCGGCGUCCAAGGACGCACAUUUAACAAGGCCUUUUCAUGGUAGGUAGUUUUAUGACCCUGGUGAUGGUUUGACAAAGCUUCUGGAACAUGAAAGUGAAGAAAAAUACACUUGAGAACCGGAUAAAUCUCCUUUUCGGGCUUUGAAAAUAGUUGACUUGAGAGGCGGAAGAAGCGUCUGAGGAAAUUGCCGACCAUAAACAACGUCUAUUCUUGAAGGGAAGGAAGUCUUACAGGAAGCAACACAAUAAGCGCGAAAGUUCCAGAAAUUCUUACAAUCUUGACGUGAAAAAGGGAAAAAAAAGAAAAAAGAGAAGAAACGGUCCCAGAGAAUAUAAACUACAGGAAGGAAGGAAGGAAAGAAUGUAAGGAAGGAAGAAAGGGAGAAAGGAAGGAAGAGAAAUAAAGACCGGAAGAAAGGAAGGAGUGGAAAAGAGACAAGUUAGCUUUCCCAUGAGCUACGAAGGACAGGAAAAGAGUAAGUAGGCCUAGGUACUGUUUUGCUUGUUUUUUUUCUAUUUUUUAAUUAUUAUUGUUCUGCUGGUAAUAUAUUUUUCUUUAUUUCAGACGUCAGUAACAUUCUCUCUCUCUCUCUCUCUCUCUCUCUCUCUCUCUCUCUCUCUCUCUCUCUCUCUCUCUCUCUCUCUCACAUAAUUAUAACUUCCUUGCCCUUCCACUUACUUUUUCAACUUACCUAACCUACCUACCUCCUCCUCCUCCUUCUUCGCCUCCUCUAAUUCACACGCGUAGGAGGAGCAAUAAUGAGUUAGCCUCGUGAUUAGAGAGGUAAGAGGGAGAGGAGAGAGGCAGGAGGACUUACGGGGAAGGAUUCGGACUCCCAUCGACCACACGUGAUGAGGGAGACGGGAGGGAGAGGGAGAGAGGUGAGGAGAGGGAGGAGGGAGCGAGCGAGUGAGAGCAGCGAAGUGACUAUGGCAGUUAUUGUAAUUUUCUUGUUAUUCUUCUCCCCUACUCCCCAUUCCUUCACCCCACUCCGAAUAUCAUUACCUUCGCUUGGGGUGAUGGGGGAGUGAUUAGGAAGGGGAAAAGGGGUGGGGAAGGCAGGGGGAAGCUUGCAGGGAGGGGAGACUGAAGGAGCCGUUUUUUGUCUCUCCCUCUCUCCCUCCACCACCCCCUCACACCUAUGUUCUUGUUUUACCUUCCCUCUUGGGGUGAUUGGGGACAUUGGGGUGAGGGGAGGAGAGGAGUAUUUAAGAGUAGAUGAAAAGAGGAAAGAAGGAGAGAAAGGGGGGAGGAAGGGAGGAUUAAGAAGUAAAGAAGAAGAGGAGAGAAGGGGAGGGGAGAAAGACAUGUAAGAGCUGGGGGGAGCGGUGAGGAGGAGAGAAGUGAAGGGGAGGGGGAGAGAGCUAAAGAUAGAGAAGGGAGUAGGGGAGUAGAGGUGAAGGGGUACGGAGAGGUACGUAAGGGAUAGUGGAGACACGAGAGGGAAGGGGUAGGGAGGAGAGUAGAGGAGGUGGGGAGAGGGGGAGAGGAACAUCACGUUUUGUCGAGAAAUUGCCAUGUGCUAGGAUAUGCUCCCCCUCUCUCUCCCUUCCCUCCCCACUCUAUCCUCCCUUCCUGAUACGGUAAUCCCUCCCCUCUCCUCACCUCCCCCUUCUUCCUCUUAUUCUCCCACAUCCUCAUCCACCUGCUGCUGUCUCCUCCUCUUCUUCUAUUUCAUUAUUUUAUUAUACUUCCUCUUUUCUCCUCCCCUUUCUUACAUCUUUUCUUCCCUCCUCCUCCUUUUCCAUCCUCUGUCUAUCAUAUACUAUCAUUUAUCUUCCUUGUAUUCUUCUUCUUGCUUGUCUUAUCUUUUUGUUUUGUUGUUUUAGUGUUCCCUUAUUCCUUUUUUCUUCUCCCUCCUUCAUUUCCUACCUAUUUUCCACUCCUCGUAUUCUUUCUUCGCUGAUAUUCUCUACUGUGUUCCCUUAUUCCCUCCUUUCUUUUCCUUCUUUAUAUCCUACUUUCAUUAUUCUUUAUUUCUUCUUCCUCCUUUUUCUUCUGCUAUUUUUCCUUCAUUAUUUCUGCCGUCACCUCCUCUAUCCCUGUCUCUACCUCCAUCAUUAUUCUCUUCCUCUUUGCUUCUCUACUACUACUACUGCUAUCCUUGCCUCCCUUUUCACCUCUCCUAUCUACCUCCACUUCAAACAUCUUCUUUCGCCGUUUUCCUUAAUUAACUGUCUACUACUAUUACUGCUUCCUGACUAAUCUAACGUCACUCCCUUCCUCUCCCUUGUCGUUUGGUAAUAACUUGGAUUUAUAUGUAUUUAUCCUACCCAUGUCCUUAACUAGCAUUUAUCUUUCUUCUCUGUUCUUUCGUCUCCUUCCUUAUCAACCUCCUCCAUUUUAUCUCAUAUCACUCACACACAGUUACUGGAAAUACAUUAUCUUUCUUCCUAGUGCAAAUUUUUACGUAUUUUUCCUGUUUGUGUUGUUUAUUAUUCCAUCUACUUAUUCCAUUUUCUUCCACUUCCUUUUUCUCCUUUUUUUCAUUUUUCACUGUCUUUAUUAUCACUUAUAGGGCUAUACGUAUUUAUUUUAUUUUCCCAGUAUAAAUAAAUGUUAGUUCUUUUUAUUUAUUCCAUUACUACCGUAUUGUUAUUUUUUAUCAUGGCAUCUACUCUUCUCUUCAUUUCCUUCCUCUUCCAUUAUCUUCCUUUCUUAGCUUAGUAAUCAAAUCUGUGUAUUUUUUUAUCAAGUUACUAUCCUCCUCCUUCUCUUCCUCCAUCUUUUUCUUCCUCCUCCUCCUCUACCACCACUAUCCUCACCACCACCACCACCGGUUCUCGCUUCCCCGCUAACCCUAUCUAUAUCCCUAUCUUUAACCCACCCUCAUCUUCCUUUAUCUUGCCCCGUCUUCCAUCAUCACCACCCCCACCACCCUCGUUAUCACUACCACGUGUCCCUUACCGCCGCCUGACUACUUACACCACCACCACCACCACCAUCACCGUCAACACCACUAUCACUGCAGCUUUGACCUUUCUCUGCCACUUAUCACCUCCACCUUCACCGCCACCACCACCGCCACUAAAAAAAACAUCCAUCCACUUUAAAUUUGUUCUAGACCUAGGUCACGGCGGGGCGCACUCUCUCUCUCUCACACACACACACACACACACACACACACACACUAAGUCAUUCGGGUCGUCGUCGUCAAUAGUGUGUGUGUGUGUGUGUGUGUGUGUGUGUGUGUGUGUGCGGGCAACACCUGCACGUGGGCGGCGUUCAGUCAGGUGUUGGGUGAUCGAUCACGGAGGAGGAGGUGGUGGUGGCGGAGGUGGCUGGGCGGCUGCUCUUCACGUGCCUGAGUGUGACGUCACCAGUCUGGCGCGUCACGUGACCCCCUGACGUUACCGCCGCAUCCCCCGCGUUCGGGAGUGACGUCACGUGUCCGCCAGGUGGCACUAAGAUGGUGGUCGGGUCGGGUCGGGCUGCCGUCACCUAUUAAAGAUUGAGGGGCGGGGCGGGGCAAAGGGGUGGAAAACUUUCUUAUUCCCGUUACUGUAUUAAUUUUUCCUGGGCAUGGGGCAAGGGGGAGGAACAAGACGGGGCGGGGCAAAAGGGUGGAAUGGGUUGGGAUACCAUCGUUUCUAUUCCCCAUUCCGUAUCUUCGCCGGGGUAUGGGGCAAGGGGGUGCAAUGAGGGUGGAAAGGGGCGGGGCAAAGAGGUGGAAAAAAUGAUGUGGGGUACUGUCUUAUUCCCUCUUCUAUAACUUUUCCGGCGCACUGGGCAAGGGGGUGGAAGGGGGUGGGAUACUAUCUUCCUCUCCCCAUCAACCCACUUCCUAUUCUUACUAGACCCUUCAUAACAACAACAACAAAAAAAAGUUAAGUUGGAAAGGAAUGAAAUGCGUGAGAGGGAUGGACAAGGUUGAAUUGGGGAGCCUAAUGUGGGGUGAGGUCUGGGGGUAAUUACAGUAGGGGGGGGGCACGAGGAUAGGAUAGAGCGUUAUAAGGGGGGGAUAGAGUAUACAGAAUGGGAAAUGGCGGUGGGGUGAGUUGGGAUUUGGGUGAAUAGGGUUCAAUAGGGGAAUCUAAUGCAAGGGGUGAGGGGGGGUGGGGGGAGAAGUAAGGGGAGGGGGGGGGCAGGGUCAGCAGUGAAAUAGGAUGCGGUUUGGCAGGGAUGGGCAAGGUGGAAAUCGCGGAACCUGACUGACACCUUCGCUUCAUUUAGUCCUGUGGUUUAUGAUUCCCUAGUCGCCGCGUUGUGUAUGAAUCUAUAGUCUGUGUGUGUUUAUGAAUCUGUGAUCUUGUACGGAGGGGUAGGAUGAGGUAGGGUAGAGUGUGUGUGUGUGUGUGUGGGUGUGGGUGUGGGGGGGGGGGGGUAGUGUUGUGGGGGGAGGGGGGGGGGGAGGUAAAAUGAGGACACCUGGAAAUCUAGAGUACGCUUUCAUGUCGUAGUAAAAUGUUGGCCUUCCUGUCCUUACUCUAUUAUACUCACAGCCUCGUAUUAUCAUCUCAAUCGCCCUACAGUACCUUCCCCAUUCCCUGCAAAACUGCCAUAGUGCUACAACAUGCCCUCGUAAUAUGAAAUAGUACAUCAUAACACAAUACACCAUUAUACUGUUUGAUUCCCAAUUAUAUACUUCCCCACGACCCAUAAAACUAUAUCAUACCUUGUCACUU